AGUAACACAUGACAUCUUUCUCCCUCGAAUUAAAAUGUGACUCGGUUCACCGGUUGAAACGCAGAGGGAGAUGGCAAUGACCGGGAGUCGAAAGGAGAAGGUUAGAGUGCAGUGGUGCAGUCAUGGCUCACUGCAGCCUCUGCCUCCAGGACUCAAAGAGUCCUCCUACCUCAACCUCCCAAGUAGCUAGGACCAUAGAGUUGUGCUCUCCUGCAGCCUUUUGAGGGUGGCUGGCUUCCAUACCCAGAAUCAAUCACACCACGACACUGAAAAAACAAAAAUAAACAGGAAAAAAGAGCGAGAGAGUAAUUCUAGCCUAUUUUUACAAGAACACAGUGGCUAUGGACAGUGCUGGUGUGAAAAUGAUUCAGCAAAAGUGGAAAACUAAAAAUUCUAGGGCAGUAUGAAAACUGGGAAAGCAAUUACAGCGGAAGUUGCCUUCCCCAUGGUAACUUAGCAACUUCGUGUCUCUCCAAGGCAGAGAGGAAAAUCAAGUUUAACAGGCCUUCCUGAAGGCUAGGUGUGAAAUACCAGAAGCCAUCUUUGUUUCUGGCAUCACUAAAUAUUUGCUGAUA
Mandrillus leucophaeus (drill) is the source of this 575-nucleotide long non-coding RNA. RefSeq lists it as uncharacterized. The record is from RefSeq and is a predicted model, not a curated record. The transcript has 5 exons. NCBI's taxonomy places the organism in Eukaryota, Metazoa, Chordata, Mammalia, Primates, Cercopithecidae.